RNAcentral lists this ribosomal RNA (453 nucleotides) under Triticum aestivum (bread wheat). RNAcentral's name for it is "partial small subunit ribosomal RNA". Lineage: Eukaryota; Viridiplantae; Streptophyta; Magnoliopsida; Poales; Poaceae. The record is from RNAcentral.
AUGGAGCUCCUAUUGGUGGCGACGAAGAGAGGCGGCGGCUCUCCUGGCAGGAAGCAGCGGGCGAUGGCGCUGGUUGUCGACGAGGUUGGCAGGGAGGUCGCGCUCGAGACCAGAGACGAAGGCGUUGCGAACUGCCGCGGCGGGCGCCGUCUUGGAGCACCCCAGCCGGAGGACGAGGCAGGGGCACAAGGGGUGGCGGAGGCCAUGGACAAAGCAGCAGGGCAGCGCCGGACGUUGAAUGACGAGGGCGAGGGGAUCCAGCGGAGCUCGGGCUCCCGGCGCAAAGGACAGACUGGGAGGAGGAGAUCCGGGCGCGGGCACGGAGGCCUGGACGGUGGCGCGCGAGAAGAGCAGCGGGAGGGAGAGAGCGAAGGGAGAGAGGGGAUCGAGCAGAUGGUCGUUCGGGCGUGUGGUUCCCUGGCGGCGCGAGGGAAUGAGGAGGAGAUGGGGUGA